GGCACGGUACGCAAACGGGCAAAGCGGCGAAGCUCAAACCUUCGUGUCUGCGGGUUCGACUCCCGCCUGUGCCA
RNAcentral lists this transfer RNA (74 nucleotides) under Pirellulales bacterium. RNAcentral's name for it is "tRNA-Leu". It matches the Rfam family "tRNA". From Rfam's summary of the family: Transfer RNA (tRNA) molecules are approximately 80 nucleotides in length. Their secondary structure includes four short double-helical elements and three loops (D, anti-codon, and T loops). The record is from RNAcentral. Lineage: Bacteria; Pseudomonadati; Planctomycetota; Planctomycetia; Pirellulales.